GAUGAACGCUGGCGGCGUGCCUAAUACAUGCAAGUCGAGCGAACAGACGAGGAGCUUGCUCCUCUGACGUUAGCGGCGGACGGGUGAGUAACACGUGGAUAACCUACCUAUAAGACUGGGAUAACUUCGGGAAACCGGAGCUAAUACCGGAUAACAUGUUGAACCGCAUGGUUUAACAGUGAAAGACGGUCUUGCUGUCACUUAUAGAUGGAUCCGCGCCGCAUUAGCUAGUUGGUAAGGUAACGGCUUACCAAGGCAACGAUGCGUAGCCGACCUGAGAGGGUGAUCGGCCACACGGGAACUGAGACACGUUCCAGACUCCUACGGGAGGCAGCAGUCGGGAAUCUUCCGCAAUGGGCGAAAGCCUGACGGAGCAACGCCGGGUGAGUGAAGAAGGUCUUCUGAUCGUAAAACUCUGUUAUUAGGGAAGAACAAAUGUGUAAGUAACUAUGCACGUCUUGACGGUACCUAAUCAGAAAGCCACGGCUAACUACGUG
Molecule: ribosomal RNA, 497 nt
Filed under: uncultured bacterium
Lineage: Bacteria
Description: partial 16S ribosomal RNA
Rfam family: Bacterial small subunit ribosomal RNA
Source: RNAcentral